RNAcentral lists this unclassified non-coding RNA (277 nucleotides) under Archaeospora ecuadoriana. Its description in RNAcentral is "partial contains 5.8S ribosomal RNA and internal transcribed spacer 2". The stretch from base 1 to 71 matches the Rfam family "5.8S ribosomal RNA", at positions 84 to 154 of the family's 154-position model. The record is from RNAcentral. Lineage: Eukaryota; Fungi; Glomeromycota; Glomeromycetes; Archaeosporales; Archaeosporaceae.
GUGAAUCAUCGAAUCUUUGAACGCAUAUUGCACUCUUUGGUAUUCCGGUGAGUACGCCUGUUUGAGGGUAAUUAAAAAGCAUAUUUAACGAUUUUUUUUUGGUCAAUGUAAAUGAGCUCUCCGAGUUUAUCGCGGUAGAUUGAUAUAAAUGGUCAAGUCUCAUUUUAGUCGAGACGAGUAAUAAUAUUAUUUCGCGAAAUCUGCAUUAUGUGACUAUCAAGUUUUGAUGCAUACAACUUUGCUUUGUAGGCGAUAAAUGCAAAUAUUUUGAACAUUA